RNAcentral lists this ribosomal RNA (1472 nucleotides) under metagenome. RNAcentral describes it as "bacterial SSU rRNA". It matches the Rfam family "Bacterial small subunit ribosomal RNA". The record is from RNAcentral.
AGAGUUUGAUCAUGGCUCAGGAUGAACGCUAGCGGCAGGCUUAACACAUGCAAGUCGAGGGGUAUAAGUCUUCGGAUUUAGAGACCGGCGCACGGGUGCGUAACGCGUAUGCAAUCUACCUUUCACAGAGGGAUAGCCCAGAGAAAUUUGGAUUAAUACCUCAUAGUAUAGCUGAACCGCAUGGUUCUACUAUUAAAGUCACAACGGUGAAAGAUGAGCAUGCGUCCCAUUAGCUUGUUGGUAAGGUAACGGCUUACCAAGGCUACGAUGGGUAGGGGUCCUGAGAGGGAGAUCCCCCACACUGGUACUGAGACACGGACCAGACUCCUACGGGAGGCAGCAGUGAGGAAUAUUGGUCAAUGGACGCAAGUCUGAACCAGCCAUGCCGCGUGCAGGAUGACGGUCCUAUGGAUUGUAAACUGCUUUUGCACAGGAAGAAACAACUCUACGUGUAGAGUCUUGACGGUACUGUGAGAAUAAGGAUCGGCUAACUCCGUGCCAGCAGCCGCGGUAAUACGGAGGAUCCAAGCGUUAUCCGGAAUCAUUGGGUUUAAAGGGUCCGUAGGCGGUUUAGUAAGUCAGUGGUGAAAGCCCAUCGCUCAACGGUGGAACGGCCAUUGAUACUGCUAGACUUGAAUUAUUAGGAAGUAACUAGAAUAUGUAGUGUAGCGGUGAAAUGCUUAGAGAUUACAUGGAAUACCAAUUGCGAAGGCAGGUUACUACUAAUGGAUUGACGCUGAUGGACGAAAGCGUGGGUAGCGAACAGGAUUAGAUACCCUGGUAGUCCACGCCGUAAACGAUGGAUACUAGCUGUUGGAAGCAAUUUCAGUGGCUAAGCGAAAGUGAUAAGUAUCCCACCUGGGGAGUACGUUCGCAAGAAUGAAACUCAAAGGAAUUGACGGGGGCCCGCACAAGCGGUGGAGCAUGUGGUUUAAUUAGAUGAUACGCGAGGAACCUUACCAAGGCUUAAAUGUAGAUUGACCGGUUUGGAAACAGACUUUUCGCAAGACAAUUUACAAGGUGCUGCAUGGUUGUCGUCAGCUCGUGCCGUGAGGUGUCAGGUUAAGUCCUAUAACGAGCGCAACCCCUGUUGUUAGUUGCCAGCGAGUCAUGUCGGGAACUCUAACAAGACUGCCAGUGUAAACUGUGAGGAAGGUGGGGAUGACGUCAAAUCAUCACGGCCCUUACGCCUUGGGCUACACACAUGCUACAAUGGCCGGUACAGAGAGCAGCCACUGGGCGACCAGGAGCGAAUCUACAAAACCGGUCACAGUUCGGAUCGGAGUCUGCAACUCGACUCCGUGAAGCUGGAAUCGCUAGUAAUCGGAUAUCAGCCAUGAUCCGGUGAAUACGUUCCCGGGCCUUGUACACACCGCCCGUCAAGCCAUGGAAGCUGGGGGUGCCUGAAGUCGGUGACCGCAAGGAGCUGCCUAGGGUAAAACUGGUAACUAGGGCUAAGUCGUAACAAGGUA